GAAAUGCUGGUAUAUGUACCAUUUAGUGGUGAAGUGUAAAAUUAGGUUUAAAACACACUUUUGUAUUUAUUAAUUUUUUUACCUUGUUAAUAUUUAUGAAACAUUCUAAGCAUUCUAAAAUCGUUUAAUGUUAUUAUUUAGAGUAUAUUAUUGUCUUGUACUUCUUGUAAGGUAAUAAUAAUUUGUGAAGUAUUUCAAAUGUAAUUCCAUUAGUUCCUGCUUGCAACUCAUAGGUGGCUAAUCAUUUCAUCCAUGAAACGCAGUUUUUAAUAUUCUCGUUUCUGACGCUUUUAUCGAAUUAUGGAAUUAUUUAGAUGCAUUGGGAUUACAGAAUAUUCUACUAAUUGCAGAAGAACGUAAAAAUCAAGGAUUUUAAAGAUAAAUGGUAUUUUAUCUUUGAGUAGUAUCAUCGUUUGCUGCUAGAUGAUGUUAGUGCUGUCAUUUUCUGAAGAGUACAUUAUUAAUAAUAGUGUAUAAAUGAAGAAAAACAGGCGAGCUUUGGAAAAACCAUGUAUUAUAGAAUAAUAAUAGAUUACAUUGUUCAUGGUAAUAAUGAUAUAGUAAACCAGAAUAUACCUGACAAUAAUAAUAAUAAGAAUCUAAAAUAACACGAAUACUGAAUACAUAUUAUUAACAAUAAUGAGAGGAGGGACUUUGGGGAUGUUUGGCAAAAAAAAGGAAGGGGCCAAACCGCUGAGAACUGCAUUCAAAAUAAAAGAGAAAAAUAAAAUGGGGGACAGGGAGAAAAUAGAAAUACGAUAAAAUAUGAUCUAUGGAUAAACCUAACAUCUUCGACGUGUUUUUUCAUCGUUUGAGCAUUUAAAAAGAAUUGACUAAGCAGCCCGACGUGAAUCGAUUUCAAUCACGUACAGAUCCGUUCCUCCUCGCAGGAAUACAAUAUACUUCGUUGUAUGCAACAAAAUAUGACGUUUGAAAUCAAUAGAACAAGAAAAAAAAAACGAAAACGAAAUAUAAUAAGGAAUGACGGUUGAUUGUGUUUAAGACUUACUGCUAAAUUAAUUAAAGUAAUUGCUGAACAGCAAUCGACGAUCAUUUAAAAAAAAAGCAACGCGUUCACGAGACGCUGAUUCAUAUAAAAUGUAAGUUUUCCUUUCUUUCUUUGAAAAAUAAUAAAAUAUAUAAUUCGUUCUCCGAUUAAACGCGAAACGCUUUUAAUUCUGUUAUACAUUAUAAACAAGGAAAAAACCUUUAUGUAUGUGUAUACGUACAUACUAUGUAUAUAUGGGUGUGUAUGCGCAAGUGUGUGUACGUGUGUGUGAUAUACCCGCGUAUCGCACGCACAACGUGAAAACGUUUCAAUAUUACUGUUUUUCAUUUCCUAUCACGCGAGAAUUUUUCACGGCACGAAAUCACUGCGUUUCGUUUUAUUUACUCUCUGUUCCAUGUAAGCCGAAGACUAAAAGUGCAGGGGAAGAAGAGAAGAUUAAAAAAAAAAGGAUCGAGCACAUUUCUUUUUUCCACUCGAGAACCAGCUCGUUUUAGGAAUUGUACGUGGUUUCCAGACAUCUGGAAAUUUGUUAAAUUGCACCCUGGUCUUGCGGAUUGGUCCUUUCCCACCGGCGCCAUAAUUAUCAAUUCUAACUAGUUAUUCACGAGCUGAGAUCUUAACUUUACUAACGAAGCACCUCGAAUACACUAAACAGAAAAAAUCAUUACAGUGUCUAUGAAUUAAAAGGGGCAAAAAAAAAAAA
This 1712-nucleotide long non-coding RNA is filed under the name Megachile rotundata (alfalfa leafcutting bee). Its description in RNAcentral is "uncharacterized LOC105662061". Lineage: Eukaryota; Metazoa; Arthropoda; Insecta; Hymenoptera; Megachilidae. The record is from RNAcentral.